RNAcentral lists this ribosomal RNA (500 nucleotides) under uncultured bacterium. RNAcentral describes it as "partial 16S ribosomal RNA". It matches the Rfam family "Bacterial small subunit ribosomal RNA", at positions 29 to 523 of the family's 1533-position model. The record is from RNAcentral.
AUUGAACGCUGGCGGAAUGCUUUACACAUGCAAGUGGAACGGCAGCACGGACUUCGGUCUGGUGGCGAGUGGCGAACGGGUGAGUAAUAUAUCGGAGCGUGACCAGUAGUGGGGGAAAAGGUAGCGAAAGUUACGGUAAUACAGCAUACGCAGGAAGGAUGAAAGCGGAGAUAGGCAAGAACGGGCGCGACUGGAGCGAGCGAUAGCAGAUUAGGUAGUCGGUGGGGUAAAGGCUCACCAAGCUAACGAUCUGUAGCUGGGCUGAGAGGACGACCAGCCACACUGGAACUGUGACACGGUCCAGACUCUUACGGGAAGCAGCAGUGGGGAAUUUUGGACAAUGGACGCAAGUCUGAUCCAGCCAUUCCGCGUGCAGGAUGAAGGCCCUCGGGUUGUAAACUGCUUUUGUACGGAACGAAAAGGUCUCUCUUAAUACGGGGGGCUCAUGACGGUACCGUAAGAAUAAGCACCGGCUAACUACGUGCCAGCCGCCGCGGUAA